RNAcentral lists this unclassified non-coding RNA (328 nucleotides) under soil metagenome. RNAcentral describes it as "partial contains 5.8S ribosomal RNA, internal transcribed spacer 2, and large subunit ribosomal RNA". The stretch from base 4 to 119 matches the Rfam family "5.8S ribosomal RNA", at positions 39 to 154 of the family's 154-position model. The record is from RNAcentral.
GAUAAGAACGUAGCGAAAUGCGAUAAGUAAUGUGAAUUGCAGAAUUCAGUGAAUCAUCGAAUCUUUGAACGCACAUCGCGCCCCCUGGUAUUCCGGGGGGCAUGCCUGUCCGAGCGUCAUUACAACCCUCAAGCUCAGCUUGGUGUUGGGCCCCGCCGCCCCGGCGGGCCCUAAAGUCAGUGGCGGUGCCGUCCGGCUCCGAGCGUAGUAAUUCUUCUCGCUCUGGAGGUCCGGUCGUGUGCUCGCCAGCAACCCCCAAUUUUUUUCAGGUUGACCUCGGAUCAGGUAGGGAUACCCGCUGAACUUAAGCAUAUCAAUAAGCGGAGGA